RNAcentral lists this ribosomal RNA (253 nucleotides) under uncultured bacterium. RNAcentral's name for it is "partial 16S ribosomal RNA". It matches the Rfam family "Bacterial small subunit ribosomal RNA", at positions 524 to 776 of the family's 1533-position model. The record is from RNAcentral.
UACGUAGGGGGCAAGCGUUGUCCGGAUUUAUUGGGCGUAAAGAGCGUGUAGGCGGUUUGGUAGGUCCGUUGUGAAAACUCGGGGCUCAACCUCGAGACGCCGAUGGAAACCAUCAGACUAGAGUCCGGAAGAGGAGAGUGGAAUUCCUGGUGUAGCGGUGAAAUGCGCAGAUAUCAGGAAGAACACCCGUGGCUAAGGCGGCUCUCUAGUACGGUACUGACGCUGAGACGCGAAAGCGUGGGGAGCGAACAGG